CCUACGGGGUGCAGCAGUGGGGAAUAUUUGGCAAUGGGCGCAAGCCUGACCCAGCAACGCCGCGUGAAGGAAGAAGGCUUUCGGGUUGUAAACUUCUUUUAAGAGGGAAGAGCAGAAGACGGUACCUCUUGAAUAAGCCACGGCUAACUACGUGCCAGCAGCCGCGGUAAUACGUAGGUGGCUAGCGUUGUCCGGAUUUACUGGGUGUACAGGGCGUGUAGCCGGGCUGACAAGUCAGAUGUGAAAUUCCGGGGCUCAACCCCGGACCUGCAUUUGAAACUGUUGGUCUUGAGUAUCGGAGAGGCAGGCGGAAUUCCUAGUGUAGCGGUGAAAUGCGUAGAUAUUAGGAGGAACACCAGUGGCGAAGGCGGCCUGCUGGACGACAACUGACGGUGAGGCGCGAAAGCGUGGGGAGCAAACAGGAUUAGAUACCCGGGUAGUC
Molecule: ribosomal RNA, 442 nt
Filed under: uncultured bacterium
Lineage: Bacteria
Description: partial 16S ribosomal RNA
Rfam family: Bacterial small subunit ribosomal RNA
Source: RNAcentral